GACGAACGCUGGAGGCGUGCUUAACACAUGCAAGUCGAACGAUGAAGUGGAGCUUGCUCCACGGAUUAGUGGCGAACGGGUGAGUAACACGUGAAUAACCUGCCCUCAAUUUCGGAAUAACCCAGGGAAACCUGGGCUAAUACCGGAUAAGUAAACCUGUGGCAUCACAUGGUUUUGGAAAGUUUUUCGAUUGAGGAUGGAUUCGCGGCCUAUCAGCUUGUUGGUGAGGUAAUGGCUCACCAAGGCGACGACGGGUAGCCGGCCUGAGAGGGUGAACGGCCACACUGGGACUGAGACACGGCCCAGACUCCUACGGGAGGCAGCAGUGGGGAAUAUUGCGCAAUGGACGAAAGUCUGACGCAGCGACGCCUCGUGAGGGACGAAGGUCUUCGGAUUGUAAAACCUCUUUCAGCAGGGACGAAGCGAAAGUGACGGUACCUGCAGAAGAAGCACCGGCUAACUAUGU
Molecule: ribosomal RNA, 466 nt
Filed under: uncultured Actinomycetes bacterium
Lineage: Bacteria; Bacillati; Actinomycetota; Actinomycetes
Description: bacterial SSU rRNA
Rfam family: Bacterial small subunit ribosomal RNA
Source: RNAcentral